Molecule: transfer RNA, 72 nt
Filed under: Perkinsus olseni
Lineage: Eukaryota; Perkinsozoa; Perkinsida; Perkinsidae
Rfam family: tRNA
About the family: Transfer RNA (tRNA) molecules are approximately 80 nucleotides in length. Their secondary structure includes four short double-helical elements and three loops (D, anti-codon, and T loops).
Source: Rfam by way of RNAcentral
GCCACUUUAGCUUAGUGGUAGAGCGUCCGCUUUAUACGCAGAAGGUCGUCAGUUCUUUCCUGGCAAGUGGUU